RNAcentral lists this ribosomal RNA (565 nucleotides) under uncultured soil bacterium. Its description in RNAcentral is "bacterial SSU rRNA". It matches the Rfam family "Bacterial small subunit ribosomal RNA", at positions 17 to 584 of the family's 1533-position model. The record is from RNAcentral.
UCAUGGCUCAGGAUGAACGCUAGCGGCGUGCCUGAGAUAUGCAAGUCGAGCGAUCAUAGGUCCGCAAGGAUCUGUGAAGCGGCGGACGGCUGAGUAACACGUAGGAACUUGCCCCCAAGUAGGGAAUAGCUCACCGAAAGGUGGGGUAAUGCUUUAUAGUCCCCUCCAUUGGAGGGGUAAAGGACGUAACUGUUCGCUUAGGGAUAGUCCUGCGGCCUAUCAGGUAGUUGGUGAGGUAAUGGCUCACCAAGCCUAUGACGGGUAGCUGGCCUCAUGAGGGUGGUCAGCCAGAGGGGGACUGAGACACGGCCCCCACUCCUACGGGAGGCAGCAAUCAGGAAUAGUCGGCAAUGGACGAAAGUCUGACCGCGCGACGUCGCGUGUAGGAUGAAGCUUCAAAAGAGUGUAAACUACUGUGGUAGGGGAAAAAGUUCCGCUUAUAGCGGGAUUGACGGUACCCUACUAGAAAGUGGCCGCUAACUGCGUGCCAGAAGCGUCGGUAAUACGUGGACCACAAGCGUUAUCCGGUGUCACUGGGCGUAAAGAGUCGUGUACGUGGUGAAUU